UCACAUUCAUGGUGUUUGGGAU
Molecule: non-coding RNA, 22 nt
Filed under: Arabidopsis thaliana (thale cress)
Lineage: Eukaryota; Viridiplantae; Streptophyta; Magnoliopsida; Brassicales; Brassicaceae
Source: RNAcentral